This 425-nucleotide ribosomal RNA is filed under the name uncultured bacterium. RNAcentral describes it as "partial 16S ribosomal RNA". It matches the Rfam family "Bacterial small subunit ribosomal RNA", at positions 354 to 796 of the family's 1533-position model. The record is from RNAcentral.
GUGAGGAAUAUUGCGCAAUGGAGGCAACUCUGACGCAGCCAUGCCGCGUGAAUGAUGAAGGUCUUAGGAUUGUAAAAUUCUUUCACCGGGGACGAUAAUGACGGUACCCGGAGAAGAAGCCCCGGCUAACUUCGUGCCAGCAGCCGCGGUAAUACGAAGGGGGCGAGCGUUAUUCGGAAUCACUGGGCGUAAAGCGUGCGUAGGCGGUCUCGUAAGUUAGGAGUGAAAGCCCAGGGCUCAACCUUGGAAUUGCUCUUAAAACUGCAAGGCUAGAAUCUCGGAGAGGAUAGCGGAAUUUCCAGUGUAGCAGUGAAAUGCGUAGAUAUUGGAAGGAACACCAGUGGCGUAAGCGGCUAUCUGGACGAGUAUUGACGCUGAGGCACGAAAGCGUGGGGAUCAAACAGGAUUAGAUACCCUGGUAGUCC